RNAcentral lists this ribosomal RNA (468 nucleotides) under uncultured bacterium. RNAcentral describes it as "partial 16S ribosomal RNA". It matches the Rfam family "Bacterial small subunit ribosomal RNA", at positions 28 to 507 of the family's 1533-position model. The record is from RNAcentral.
GACGAACGCUGGCGGCGCGCCUAACACAUGCAAGUCGAACGGAGCUGAGAGAAGCUUGCUUUUCUUAGCUUAGUGGCGAACGGGUGAGUAACGCGUGAGUAACCUGCCCUGGAGUGGGGGACAACAGUUGGAAACGACUGCUAAUACCGCAUAAGCCCACGAUCCGGCAUCGGCUUGAGUGAAAAGGAUUUAUUCGCUUCAGGAUGGACUCGCGUCCAAUUAGCUAGUUGGUGAGGUAACGGCCCACCAAGGCGACGAUUGGUAGCCGGACUGAGAGGUUGAACGGCCACAUUGGGACUGAGACACGGCCCAGACUCCUACGGGAAGCAGCAGUGGGGGAUAUUGCACAAUGGGGGAAACCCUGAUGCAGCGACGCCGCGUGGAGGAAGAAGGUUUUCGGAUUGUAAACUCCUGUCGUUAGGGACGAUAAUGACGGUACCUAACAAGAAAGCACCGGCUAACUACGUG